GAUGAACGCUAGCGCUAGGCUUAACACAUGCAAGUCGAGGGGCAGCAUGGUCUUAGCUUGCUAAGACUGAUGGCGACCGGCGCACGGGUGCGUAACGCGUAUGCAACUUGCCUCACAGAGGGGGAUAACCCGUCGAAAGACGGACUAAUACCGCGUACACUCCAUCUUGGGCAUCCAAGGUAGAGGAAAUGAAAUUCGCUGUGAGAUAGGCAUGCGUCCCAUUAGCUAGUUGGUGAGGUAACGGCUCACCAAGGCGACGAUGGGUAGGGGAACUGAGAGGUUGAACCCCCACACUGGUACUGAGACACGGACCAGACUCCUACGGGAGGCAGCAGUGAGGAAUAUUGGUCAAUGGGCGAGAGCCUGAACCAGCCAAGUCGCGUGAAGGAUGACUGUCUUAUGGAUUGUAAACUUCUUUUAUACGGGAAUAACAAGAGUCACGGGUGACUCCCUGCAUGUACCGUAUGAAUAAGCAUCGGCUAACUCCGUG
Molecule: ribosomal RNA, 490 nt
Filed under: uncultured bacterium
Lineage: Bacteria
Description: partial 16S ribosomal RNA
Rfam family: Bacterial small subunit ribosomal RNA
Source: RNAcentral